RNAcentral lists this ribosomal RNA (374 nucleotides) under uncultured bacterium. RNAcentral's name for it is "bacterial SSU rRNA". It matches the Rfam family "Bacterial small subunit ribosomal RNA", at positions 523 to 898 of the family's 1533-position model. The record is from RNAcentral.
AUACGUAGGGAGCAAGCGUUAUCCGGAUUUAUUGGGCGUAAAGCGCGCGUAGGCGGCUUAUCAAGCAAGAUCUUUAAUCUGAGGGCUCAACCCCCAGCUGGAUCCUGAACUGGUAGGCUCGAGUUUGGUAGAGGAAGAUGGCAUUCCCAGUGUAGCGGUGAAAUGCGCAGAUAUUGGGAAGAACACCAAUGGCGAAGGCAGUCUUCUGGGCCAUAACUGACGCUGAGGUGCGAAAGCUAGGGGAGCGAACAGGAGUAGAUACCCUGGUAGUCCUAGCCGUAAACGAUGGGCACUAGGUGUGGGGAGUCAACUCUCUCCGUGCCGCAGCUAACGCAUUAAGUGCCCCGCCUGAGGAGUACGGCCGCAAGGCUAAA